Molecule: transfer RNA, 75 nt
Filed under: Bacillus cereus
Lineage: Bacteria; Bacillati; Bacillota; Bacilli; Caryophanales; Bacillaceae
Also listed under: 32 other names
Description: tRNA-Gly
Rfam family: tRNA
About the family: Transfer RNA (tRNA) molecules are approximately 80 nucleotides in length.
Source: RNAcentral
GCGGAAGUAGUUCAGUGGUAGAAUACAACCUUGCCAAGGUUGGGGUCGCGGGUUCGAACCCCGUCUUCCGCUCCA